RNAcentral lists this transfer RNA (73 nucleotides) under Tropilaelaps mercedesae. It matches the Rfam family "tRNA". Rfam says of the family: Transfer RNA (tRNA) molecules are approximately 80 nucleotides in length. Their secondary structure includes four short double-helical elements and three loops (D, anti-codon, and T loops). Further hydrogen bonds mediate the characteristic L-shaped molecular structure. tRNAs have two regions of fundamental functional importance: the anti-codon, which is responsible for specific mRNA codon recognition, and the 3' end, to which the tRNAs corresponding amino acid is attached (by aminoacyl-tRNA synthetases). tRNAs cope with the degeneracy of the genetic code in two manners: having more than one tRNA (with a specific anti-codon) for a particular amino acid; and 'wobble' base-pairing, i.e. permitting non-standard base-pairing at the 3rd anti-codon position. Lineage: Eukaryota; Metazoa; Arthropoda; Arachnida; Mesostigmata; Laelapidae. The record is from Rfam by way of RNAcentral.
GUCCAGAUAACUCAGCUGGUAGAGCGUUACGCUUUGAACUUAACAGUACAGGUUUCGAACCCCCGUCUGCACG